This 253-nucleotide ribosomal RNA is filed under the name uncultured bacterium. RNAcentral's name for it is "partial 16S ribosomal RNA". It matches the Rfam family "Bacterial small subunit ribosomal RNA", at positions 524 to 776 of the family's 1533-position model. The record is from RNAcentral.
UACAGAGGUCUCAAGCGUUGUUCGGAUUCAUUGGGCGUAAAGGGCGCGUAGGCGGCGGGGUAAGUCGGGUGUGAAAUCUCAGAGCUCAACUCUGAAACUGCACUCGAUACUGCUCUGCUUGAGGACUGGAGAGGAGACUGGAAUUCAUGGUGUAGCAGUGAAAUGCGUAGAGAUCAUGAGGAAGACCAGUGGCGAAGGCGGGUCUCUGGACAGUUCCUGACACUGAGGCACGAAGGCCAGGGGAGCAAACGGG